CAACCCUUGACAUGGGACGUACGGGCUCGAGAGAUCGGGUCCUUCAGUUCGGCUGGCGUCCACACAGGUGCUGCAUGGCUGUCGUCAGCUCGUGUCGUGAGAUGUUGGGUUAAGUCCCGCAACGAGCGCAACCCUCAUCUUCAGUUGCCAUCAUUUGGUUGGGCACUCUGAAGAAACUGCCGGUGACAAGCCGGAGGAAGGCGGGGAUGACGUCAAGUCCUCAUGGCCCUUACGGGUUGGGCCACACACGUGCUACAAUGGUGGUGACAAUGGGGAGCAAAGGCGCGAGCCCGAGCCGAUCUCAAAAAGCCAUCUCAGUUCGGAUUGCACUCUGCAACUCGGGUGCAUGAAGUUGGAAUCGCUAGUAAUCGCGCAUCAGCACGGCGCGGUGAAUA
RNAcentral lists this ribosomal RNA (395 nucleotides) under uncultured bacterium. Its description in RNAcentral is "bacterial SSU rRNA". It matches the Rfam family "Bacterial small subunit ribosomal RNA", at positions 975 to 1368 of the family's 1533-position model. The record is from RNAcentral.